CAUCGUUCUCAGGGCGGGGCGAAAUUCCCCACCGGCGGUAUCCGGAGCGAUCCGGGAGCCCGCGAGCGCCUUCCGCGAGGAAGGGUCAGCAGAUCCGGUGCGAUGCCGGAGCCGACGGUCACAGUCCGGAUGGAAGAGAGCAAGC
Molecule: non-coding RNA, 145 nt
Filed under: Shinella sp.
Lineage: Bacteria; Pseudomonadati; Pseudomonadota; Alphaproteobacteria; Hyphomicrobiales; Rhizobiaceae
Description: FMN sequence
Rfam family: FMN riboswitch aptamer (RFN element)
About the family: The RFN element is a highly conserved domain that is found frequently in the 5'-untranslated regions of prokaryotic mRNAs that encode for flavin mononucleotide (FMN) biosynthesis and transport proteins.
Source: RNAcentral